UUGCAAAAAAGAACAAUUUAAUAAUAAAGACAUUAGAGUUAAAUAUUUAGCAGAAGAUGUUUUAUUGAUAAUAUAGUUAUUAAAGGGGGAGUAUUACAGUACACACUCUUCAACUGAUCAACUCAUAUGUAACGACAACAUACUUAAGCACCACACUGGAAUUAUCAUAAACCAAGCCAAAUUAAGGCAUGCACACUCAUUUAUCUGGAUCAAGAAAACAAUUAAAACAAACUUAAUUUAUGGCAUAAGCCAUGCACACACUAUGGGAUACUUAAUUAGCAAGGAGGUAAGCCUCAACGGCCUUGAAUAUGAGCCCUGCCUUCUCGGUGGCAUCCUUAAUGUUCUCUUCUGGGAUCACGGCGUCGCCUAUGGUGUUGUAAAUGGUGGUGUUCUUAACAAUGGACCCUCCAUCCGGAGUAGGCACAAUAGUGAAAUGAUUAACGAUGGAUUCGAUUAUGUCCAACAGGAUAUCGCCUCCGAUGAUGGAGUAAGUGUAGGUCAACGCGUCCUUGUCAAUUGCAUCUAUCCGUUGCUUCAUGGUGUUGAAUUGGCUGGCUGUAGAAUCAGAUUUACAUUCAAUAUAUAUAAAUAAACAUUCGGUUAAUUAAUUGGAACAGUACUCGAUCAAUAUUACAUACAUAUAUAAUAUUUCAUUAAUUAACACCAAUUUAUAUAUAAGUGAGUACGUACGUACUGAUAUAUUCACAGUUAACAUCCAUUAUUAUUAUUGUUUCAAUUCAGACGGUCUUCUCGAUCUUCCAUUUUAAAUAGAAUAGUACUGGUCUUUUCAUCUUCUUGAUCAGUAGAAUGCAUAUAUG
This 818-nucleotide long non-coding RNA is filed under the name Panax ginseng (ginseng). RNAcentral describes it as "long non-coding RNA (PGIN_LNC015466)". The record is from RNAcentral. Lineage: Eukaryota; Viridiplantae; Streptophyta; Magnoliopsida; Apiales; Araliaceae.